Molecule: long non-coding RNA, 15258 nt
Filed under: Setaria viridis
Lineage: Eukaryota; Viridiplantae; Streptophyta; Magnoliopsida; Poales; Poaceae
Description: long non-coding RNA (SVIR_LNC005821)
Source: RNAcentral
CUUCGUCGGAUCUAGUAGUACAGUGGUAGUGAGAGUCUUAUUAGUGGUAGUAGCAGUAUUGUAGUGGUUGUGAUAGUGCCAUGGAGGGAGAGGCAUUUGUUUUGGUGGUCCGCCGGGCGGAUGGAUCUGAGGGUUUCGUGUGGGGAUUUUGAGAGGUUUUUGAGGGUGGAUUUGAUUAGCGUGGUUGGUGUGAGUCUAUUCCUAUUAUUUAGUCGCGUCUUGUGUACCUAGUGCUCACUGGCUCUGAGAGUAUUAUUAUUAUUGUUAUGGAUUUAUGAUAUUAUUAUUAUUGUUAUAUUAUUCUCGCGUAUCAUCUCUGUUCAGUUUCAGUAGAUUUAUGCUUAUUAUCAGCAAAAUUCACUGAAAUUUCAUAGAAGAUCACUGUCGCAAAAUCUUAAAUUCACGGUGUGUUAUGAGACCGAUUCCGUUGGGCAUCUGCCCUGUCCAGACACUGCGAGGUGUAUGGUUUUGGCAUGCCCUGCUGAGAAUCUGAGCAGAUUGAUAUGAUUCGAGAUGGAAUUUUGUGUGUGCGCGACAUGUGUCCCGGCAUGAAGGGAAGGGUAGAAAGCUUGAGACCGAGGCAGCUUAAAGGCUAAGCAAGCACACGCACGCAGUACGUGUGAGCGAGGGAGGCCGCGCCAGAGCGGAGAUGGAGAUGCCUGUACGGCGUGGCCCACCUGUUUGGGCAGCACAUGGGCAGCGGUUGGGGGUUCGUUGUGACCACCUGGCCGACGCCCCCGCCACCCAGAGGAAUAGCUCAAUCGCAUCGCGUUGCCAAGACUUUCCAGAAUUUUCUGCGUGUAUAAUGCGCCCUUCCAUACUUGGGAAUCCUGGGAAUUCCCCCUCCCAAACGACGCUAACCAGAAUACCAAACGACGCUAACCAGAAUAGGAAUCCAUCCACGCUAACAAAGAAAUGGGAAUCCUGAUGUUCCUUGGUACCCAUGAGCUUUCCAGCUGAACUCGUCGACAAAGAAGCCCAUCAGAAAACAAAACGACAUCUAAGCUAGACGCGAACCAUGUUCGGGCCAAAUGCCGGCCCUCUAAGCAUGGCCCAGAACUUAAUUUAUUAUACUCGAUGCUAAAAAUUGCUUUCAAAGAUUAUCCUAAAACAAAGAUAUCCAUCAAGAUAGCAAAAAGUUGAGAAUAUUUCAUCAGAGGGAGAAAGGAAAACAGCCAAACAGGCAUGAAAGAGCCGAUGAACCUGGGGCCUCAACUAAUUAUAAGCCUGAGGUCAGCAACAAUAAACUUGAACUUAUAAUCUUAUUCCUUUCCCUGACGAACUAGGCAUAUCGACAAGAUUAUCUGUUUAUUUGUGACAAGAAUCAAAACAAUUGGUGGACCAAAAAUGACUUUCUUCUCCAAUGGAAGGUCAUGGCAGCACCUAUACCAUAAUAUAGGAACUAACUAAACCGUUCAGCUUGCUUCCCCCCCCCCCCCCCCCCCCCCCCCCCCCCCCCCCCCCCCCCCAGCCUACCUCACGGACAAAAAAGAGAGAAGAUCUCCGAUUAGAAGCUAAUCCAAGUAGAAAAGCGUCACGAUCUUCCGAAGGUUCUUGGCCUCCUGGCAUGUCUCCAUCAGCAGCUUGCUGUCAUGGAACGCGAAGCAGAUCACCUGUUGGAUCUUCGAGAUGAUGUCCAUGUUGCAUAACCUGAAGGUUACAAGAGUUGCCAUUAAGCAUAAAGAUGAUAUUCAAGAAGCAAUACUGAUUUACAGAAAAUGUGACUUGUCUUUCAGUUCGUCAAAUAGGCAAAAAGACAGAUGCUCGUCGUCUAGAAUACAACAGAUAAACCCCAAAAGUUUACGACCUGUCGCCAUAAUAGUGUAGUAUCAACUCUGAAAAAUAAACUACUCUACAGCUACAGAUGCAUACCCUUGGCCCUUGGGCAGACCCCAAUCUAGAGCUAUAGUUCAUGGCGUCAACCUGUCCAAUGCUUGUUUCGCGUAAGUUCUGUAAAUGAGGCAUCAGAUACUCUUGCAGAAUGUACAGAACAUAGUAUUUGUUUUUCAUGGCAUUAUGAGGUUACUAAUAGUAUUCCAACCAUCUAUGUAACAAUCAAUGAGUUAAAAAAAGUGAUGUCGGUUUUCAUCAAAAGCAUAGUCUCUGACAAGUGCUGGAACUAAAUGAUACACUGAUCAGGCAUGGACCGAAUACAUGUAGCGACACCAUUGGUAACAAAAAAUAUACAAUAUAGGAAAAGUAUGAGCAAUUUCGAAAGGUAGCUGACCAACCUGCUAGCCUCAAUCAGUGGCAAAUGGUCAUACUGUGGUUUCUCAAUCAAAUUUUGUACCUACAAAGUAUACAAAACCUUACUGAAGCAUUUUAAAUUUUACCAUAUGGAAAUGGAACAUCAGGAGGAUGCUAUUUAACUCCUGAGGCAUGCUAUUGGAAUUAAUGCAUAUGACAGUGGAUGCCUAAUAAUCUCACUAUCUAGCCAGAAUCCUAGAUCAUAGGAUAAUGCUGAUGUUUUCUGAACAAUUGCAAGCGGGUUCUGGCCUGGUUGGCUAGCUCAUUGUAGAGCGGAGCUAGCAACCGCGGUUUGAAUCCCUGUUUGCACAGAUAUUAAGCCAUCUAAUAUGGCCGGGGGCUAAACCCCUGUAAUCGUUUUUUUUCCUGAAAACUUCAGAUGCCAUGGUGAGACAUUCCUAACCAAAUUGAUCGCAUUGAUUUUUAAGCAUAUUUACAAUCAAGCUUGAUAAAGAUAGCAACAAAACACCCUAAGGAUCCAAAAUUAAAUACAAACUUUCUUAUGUUUUCUUGUGUAAGAACAGAUGUACAACAGAACUGAAGGUUAAUGGUAACAGCAGAAUUAAUUCAGAAGCCUGCAGUGAAAAUAAAUAGAAUGCUCUCUUGGUGAAGGAUGAAUCAGGUCAACUAUUUAUCUUCGUAUUACUCUAUAGUCUAUACAGAAGAGCAUACACAUAACAAUAACGAAGCACAAUGUUCUCCUAAAGAAUGUUUACAUGUAUGGUCAGGGGAUAUCAAACUAAAAAGAAUUGGCUGUAAGACCUAACUCAGAGAUGAUAAUACUGUAGUUUACUGUAAACAAAGUAUCAUCAAACAUCAGUUCAUUGAUAGAAAAACACAACUAAGGAAGCUCAUGCAUUUGUCAUACAACCAGCAUCAUCAUGCCUACACCAAUUUGAAUAUCAUAUAGAUUACAAACAUGAUUCAUACACAAGCAUGGGUACAUCUUCUCCUUUUUCGUGGAGCACUAAGAAAUUCUGCAUAACUUGUCUCAAUAUGCUGAAUUUAAUGCGAUGAGCAGUCUAUCAAUACAAAAUCACUAAAUGCCAGCACUAAAUAUAUAGAACAACAGGUAUAUUGGCGCGCAUAGGAAUCUAUACGAAUAGGUCUGGAACUAAUUUUGACUAGAAAAUGACAAGUCAGAAUAGAAAUAUCAGGAAGUCUUACUUUGGACAACAGUUCUUGGCUUUCAGGAGGUUGCUUCUUUAGACUCUGAGGUAAAAUUACAGUAAGCAACUCUGGCUUUUCAGCUCUUAAAGCGCCCCUGAUAACAGCUGCAUUAGUUCCGGAAGCCCCAGAUGUGAAUAUAUGAUUUUUCUGCAAUUUCUACACAAAUAUUACUAACAAUGCUAGAGGACUCAAAGACCAUAUGAAUGGCAACAUCAAAUAAAUCAGGGAGAUCAUAUGAAUCAGUGAAUCACAGUAGCACAUAAAUAAAGAACAUACUGUUAUGACCAUAGCAUAGCUCAGGAUCUCAAUAAGCUGCUGAUGCAUAUACCCCAUGUUGCGGGUUCCAAAGAAACCUAUUGCACGAGGUCCUUGUUGCUGAAUAGCCAACAGCUCCUGCAUGACCACCAAUUAAAUGAGAUCAGUUUGCAGGAUAAAUCAAUUCAUAAACGCCAUGUAUACAAAGUAGCAUUCAUUAUUGAAAGUCUGAUUGUACUAAACUAACUUUCAGAGGUAACCACUAAAGUUAACUUUGAGUAAACUGAACAGAAAAAAACAAAACACAAUGUAAAAUGAGCAGAAACAUUACCUGUAGGUAAUCUAGAUCAGGGAUCGGCUUGUAUUCUGGUUCAGCAACCAUUGCAGUACCCUUGACAAGAGUCUCUGUCUGAGUAGGAAUCUUUACACCAUCAUCAUCUGGCCCAAACAUAAUAGUAUCAUCUCUUCCUUGACUCCUCACAUCACCUUCAUGCCCAUCUCUUUGCAUGUAUCCGCAGAGCAACUAUACGAGCACAAUAAAAACAGAACCUGGCAGUAAAUCAUUAGUGAAAACCAAAUAUAUUACAUCAUACUAAAUAAAGUUUCCAGUUUUACAAUUUUACUUUGCACCUGUGCUGAUUCUUCAAAGUCAGCUAGCCAUCAAGUAAUCCCAGAUCUAAAGUAACACCAUACCACAACAAGGGCCACAGCAAUUUAGGACACAACCUAAAUUCAGUGAGCGGAUUUGUAUACCCAUUUUAAACCCAACUUUCUGAAGACACAGCAGAAACUUUGAAUAAAAGAUACCAACAAAGGUGACGAGAAUCCCAAGCAUUGGAUUCUGAAUAAAUGUAAAGGGCAGGCUGAAUCCAAUUCAGUGGAGCAUGUAUUUAAAGGGAUCUAGAAGUGUAGCCUUUGAGUUGCACAGUUCACCCUUUAAAGGUAUGCUAAAGAAAAAUAAUACAAACACUUUUGACAUGUAAUGAUAAUAGCCUGCAACAUUUAUCUGCAAAAGAUGAUUAACUUUAUGAAUGGUGCAUAUCUUUACCAUCUAUCAGCCAGAAAGUUCCAUCAAUUGAGGUCGGUCCUAUUCUGAGGCGACCAUGACUUACUCUGCACCUUAGUCCCAACCGCGCACGGUUUGGAUUGACGGGAGCAUAGCUCAGAUGCAGGAAGGUGUGAAUGACAUUAAUAAACUUUAGGCACAGGAUCUAAGCAUCAGCAACACAAGCAGGAUCGCUUGUUACAGUGGACUGUUAAAAUAUCUAAUUUUGACGAACUUUUUCCUUUCCACGGUAAGAAUUUUGAGAUCUCAUUGCACCUAUCAAUCUACCAUGCUAUAUAUUUCUAUUGCAAUUAUGGUGUGACUACAGAGUCUGUAUACUGUAAGUACAGAUCACAGAGGAUUAACAUGCAUGUAAUCUUGAUUUGUGUCGAAUUUGAAGGAAUUAUGAUGGCAACCAAUAUCAAUACACACUCAAUUUGAGACCAUCUUGCAUUCUUGUCUGUCAUUUCUCUCUUUUUCUUAGAACGUGAAAUUACAAUCACCGCAGCAAUCCAAUCAAUAAACAGUUACGAGGAGGGGGAAAUUAUCUUUGGAGGUGAAUUCUACUCCAACCAACCCAUGAUAUCACACAGCGCACACAACAAAACAAGUUUAUAUGUAGGCAAAGUACCCGGUUCAGCCGUGCCACUGCCGGCGGCUGCUUGGUCGCCUGAGCCCAUCCCAGCAAGACGCCGCCGGGGCUCCUCGCGGCCGAGGAACAGUGCAAGAAGCCGCCGAGUCUCAAGUUCAUUCGCGGCGGCGUCCUCAACGAGGGAAGACCGCCAACGGGCGCCGCGGCGCAAGAACCCGCCAUCGUCAUCCGGCCGCCGAUUCCAAUCUACGCAGAGGAGGGAGGGGGAGAACCGCGUGAACUGCUGUGCGUGGCGGCGCUCUCGUGACCAAACCGAGGAUGGCCGCGCGGCGCGGCGCAGGUCAUGUCAGAGGAGGGGGAGGGAAUUGCUGGGUGGGCUGGGGAUGAGACGAGAGAGAGGGAGGGAGGGAGGGAGUGAGACUGGACUGGCUCAAGCCGGUUUGGUCCUCUGGCGGCCUCGCUGGCUGCUGUGGUGCGCUUGUGGGGAGGAGCUGGACGCCUUUGGAUAAAAGGUGGCGCACCACCUUGUUUGCCGUUUUUGCGUGCCUCUUCUCUCGACUCUCGUCUAGUUGUUCUUCUACGUUUCUUAUCGAGAAUACUCUUUCUUAUUUUGAUUUUUUUUGUCAGACUGUUUUAGGGUUUUUAUCUAGAACACCUGGCUUAAGGAUAGGAAAAAAUAAACCCUAUUCCAAAUUUCAGGGUUCAUUACUAUACUACUAUCACAUCUCAAAUUUCAUAUCAAUGAGUAUGCGUGCACUUCUUUUAAAAAUGCAUUUGUUUGUAUUGUUUCAAUCUAAAUCCAUGUGGUUGUGGCUAAGUCAAAGAGUCUAGCAAAGACAAUUGUUAGCCCUUACGCAAUCUUAUGAGUGUCAUUUAUACUGAGUUUUCUAAAAUUAAUGUUAUAUACUCCCUUAGCUCAGAAAUGAUAAUGUAUAUUUGAAAUUGGGGAAAAGUCCUUCAAAGUAGAUUUUGACUCUUAAUUUCUCUUAUAGUAUAAUGUUAAUAGCUUAUAAUGUUAAUAGCUAAAGACUCAAUAUCAUCUCAAAAAGACUUCGAGUAUAAAUAUAUUGAUGCAAAUUUUACACACUAAGUGUGCUUUUAAUUUAACUAAUUACUGACCAAAGUUUGUAGACUUUGAAUUUUCCUUGAUCAAAAUACGCCUACCAUUGGGAGUAAUUACAAACUACAAACAUUGUGUAAUUCAUCUACCAGUCAAGUUGGUAUUCAUUUGUUAUUUGUUUGAAGACUUCGGAAAUUCUGAAUUAUUUAUUUGAAGACUUCGGGAAUUCUAAGGUGACUAACCCUCCCUACUCUUGUUCUGCUUGGCAUAACACUACCUAUUUCUCACUAGUGUCCUUCAAAUCUCAAUUGUUUUCCCACAGUUAAAACACAUGUUCUAAAUCCAUAAACUACUACAUGAUAAAGGUCCACUCCAAGACUGGCAAGGUUUUGACCCAUCUAAUAAUCCUUUCAGUCUUCACUCUUCACAGACAUUCUUAAUGCUUAUAUAUUGAACUGUAGGUUGAAAUAACACCUGGUUCUGUUUGAACUUGAAUAGUUCAAAUUAAGUAUAUAGCACCUAUUGUAAAAAUAUCAAAAUGGAACACCCGGAUAGUUUCGGGCCUGAGUUUGGUCAGGUCUGGUUCAUGAGAAUGUUAGGUCAAGCCUGAGCUACCCAGUUGGGUUAAAUAACAUCUUUAAACCUUCGAAAACAAAUAUUUUAUUUAAAAUCAUUUAUUCAAAUAAACUCAUUAAAACUUAGAUGCACGGCUGCCGCCAGCAUGUGGGCUAGAAUAUUGUAUCCUUAUUUGGAACAGCUUCCCUAUUGCCUACUCCCUCCGUUCCAAAUUAUAGAUCGUUUUAGCAUUUCAAGGUUCAUAGUUUUUACAAUGUAUCUAGAUACAUACUAAUAGUUAUGAAUCUAGAUUUGCCAAAAUAACCUACAAUUUGGAGCGGAGAGAGUAUAUUCCUAGAACAAUUUUUCUAUCAACAAAAAAAUAGGUAUCUUAUUAGGAUGUAGUUUGAAACCAUGCCAAAUUGCAUAUUUCUUGUAGAUGCAAAAAUAAUAUAUUUCAUAUUUCUAUUUUUUUACUUUGUUGUAUUUUCUUUUUAUGUUUGGGGCUCUUUGGCUCUAAUGGAAGAAUAUGUAUUGUUUUGUAAGCCAAAUGUGUGUAUGUGAGUCAAAUACAUUAGUACUAAUGAUGAAUUUUUUGUAUUGUGUUAUGACAUGAAUUUGUUUUAUUGUUAAGAUCAAAUUAAAGGGUAUAAUCUCUUUGCCUCACAUGAAAUUAACAUUAUGUUCUUGUGUUAUUAAUUUGCCUUUGUGGACCAAGCGUAGCUUAAUAUAUUAGGUGACAUAAUCCACCUUGGUUUGAGGCCGAGUCAUAUUUUUCUGGAUUUAAUUUAGGAAAUAAUGAAACUAUGCUUUCGGCGUACGACGUGAGCAACAUGCAUGUCGACAUUGAUGUGUCGUGCUUAUAGUGUUGGGUUUGCAGGGUGAGUAGAAAUGAGAUUAAAAAAUAUACAUUUUCCUUUUUAAUAAGAAAUAAUUUGUUUUUAACCUUCUUCUUCUGUUAAUGGCUCAGUUUAGUUUUUCGAGUUUGGUUGACCCGCGACGAAUGGCAUAGGGACCUGGCAGGACCGUUCUAAGAUUUGGGAAGCCCGGGACGAAAGUAAAACUCGGGACCCUUUAAUAUAAACAUUAUAACAAAUAUAUAUGAAAUGUUACCAAUAAAUAUUAAAUGUAUGUAAAAGCAAUAUUCAUAUCCUUUUCUUUUCCUUUCUCGUUACCUGAUUCAUAUUUUCUUGACGACAUGGUAUCCUACCGUGCAGAAAUUAUUAUAAAUAAACAAUAGUUAUAAAUUAGUUGAGAUUAAAUAACUUGUGAUAGUGAAUUAAUAAUUAAUGGUAUGGGGAAUUGGCAAUUGAAUCACCUGAUCACAUAAGCGAAUUGACGAUCUCCUAUCUGAUCUCUGCCCGUCCGUCGUUGCAUCGAGGGGCGACGGGUGUGCGAUGCGAGCAGGAGAGAGGACCACCGGCAGGAUGAGGUAUUAAGGAUGAGGGGUGCGGUUGAUGAAUCAGGUUCUUGUUUUAACCACGAAGUGGGCCCACCUUAAUGUCACCUUUUACCGUGAACCAUUGUAGGCGGAGCAGUAACAAAUAUUAUCUUUUUCUGAGACCCCACCUUAAUACUAUUUGGAACGUAAGCAAUAUUCAGUCGAUUUUUAUUUCCAGAUCCGGUGAUGUGUCAAAUCCGAUUGAUUUUUUGUUUCUUGUCACUCGAUCUUUCUCUACUGCCCAUUAUUGCUACGUUGCUUCACCCUGUUGGUCUAAAAUUCGACUAACAGCAUCCCAGAUUUUACUCGAUUGUUACAUAGUCAUUCCCCUAUCUCUAUCUUUGUUCACUUAUUUAUAGAAGGGAUCAUGAAAUCCAGAAAUCUGGCCCAGACUAUACACAGAGGUAUAACCUAAUUUAUUUGGAAUACUCACACUGAGCUUUAUUGUUAUAUAUACACCAUGAAAUGAUCAGAUCAACAUGACGUGUGCGUGCUAUAGUCUUUGAAUCUAUGGCGUGCCCGCCGCGUCGCCGCCGAAGAGGCCCUUGUCGAACACCCAGUCCUCGAUCAUCUCCUGCGCGGCCCGCCCCUGCGCCGCCGGCACCAAGUGCCCGGCCCCGUACACGGCCACGUGCACGAGCGCGCCGUGCCUCUGCACGUACCCGGCGAGCCUCCCUCGCCCGCUGCCGCCACCUCUCCGUCUCCGCCACACAGCGCGGGGGGCGUCCCGGAACGCGGCCAGCCCGUCCCACUCCAGCUCCCGCAGCCACGCCUCCGCCGCCACCGGCCCGUCCUGCGCGUCGCGGAUCCCCUCGUAGAGGAGGACGCGCGCCGACGCCCCGGCGAGCAGCGCCUCCACGUCCGGCUUGGCGCUCUUCAUCACGUCGUCGUGGAACGCCGCGUCCACCGCCGGGCUUACCAGCUGCCACGGCGAGCCGCCCUCCGACGCGCGCCGCGCUCCCAGCGCCGCCCUCACCUCGGCGCUGUUCAUGAGCGCCUCGGCCACGGCGGCGGCCCCUGCGAACUCGGCCUCCAGGGACGUCACCACCGCCACGUCGAACAGCGACGCGAGCCCCGUGGCGUUCCGCAGCGACGACAGCAGACGCGCCCGCGCGUCCGACGCCUCGCGCCAGCGCGCCGCGUUGGUCAGCGCCACCGCCGCCGCUUGCAUCGCCUCGGCGUCGCGCUUCUGCUUGUCGUUGAUGAGCCCCAUGAAGUAGGCGGUGUCGGCGUGCGUGGCCACCUGCGCCACGGGGUGGACCAGGCCGUUGCCGAUGGCCACGCCCCGCAGGUUGAUCCGCCGGUGCUCCGGCAGCUCGGGGUUCGUGGCCAGUAUGAGCGAGCCGGCCGCGGGGAUGGACUUACCGGCGUAGCUCUCGCCGGUGAGGAAGAGCGGGCGCGCGCGGAACUCCGCCGGCUGGGCGUCGAAGAAGGACUGGAGCGCGGCGAGGACGUGCUCCGCGACGACGGACUGGUUGGUGGGGAUGGCGGAGGGAGACGGCGCCGAGCUGUAGCCGGUGCCAAGCGGGCUGUCGACGAAGAGGAGCCCGAAGCGGCGGUUCCACGCGAAAGGGUUGGGCGACAAGGGGGCGGAGCUGUUGUUGCGGCCGGCGGCGAAGGUGUAGGGGCCGAUCUGGAAGAAGUUGCUGACGAGGGAGGACACGCCGGGGCCGCCCUCGAGCCAGACGAGGAGCGGCGUGGAGGCCGGCGGGGUCACAGGGUGGGUGGCCUCGUAGAAGGCGAAGUAGAGAGAAGCGUUCGCCGGUGGGAUCGGGAGGUAGCCGGACUUGGUCGGGAGGGCUUCUCUGGGGAACAACGCCGCCGCCGCGGCUGAGCCAUGAAGGGCGGGGGCGAGGAAAAUGACGACGAGGAGGGAAAACGGGAGCGGAGAUGCCAUGGUACGUGUUGCCUGAAUGCUGUUGCGUGCCUGUGCUUGAACGUAGUCUUUCUUACACCAUCAUCAGAGCGCCCUAAAUAUGUUUACGUGGCUGAAAAAUCUCUGAAGCCUAGCUGACAAAAGAAAAGUCUCUCAGACGAGUUUCCAAACACGCGGCGCCACAGUGCAGGUGAGGCAGAAGUUCAAUGCCAGGUGUGCUCAGAUUAUUGAACAAGAACUCAAUUGUUUUGCGUGUGUCAGUCAAGCUCCCAUGCAUUCCCUGUUGGACUAGAAAGGUGAUGAGCUAGUAAUCAGUAGCAAGGUUGACCUGAUGAAUAGUGCAGUAUGCCUGGAUUUGUACAGGGUUCUGGUUUCAUUUUCUCACGACUACAACAAAAGCAAGUUCCAGUCUUCCACAGCCGCUCCUUCCAGAUGGUCGACCGUUCUGGUCAGUGAGAACAAUAUUUCUUCCCUGGUUGGUGAGCGGAGACAACAGCUGGAAGAGCUCUUGAAUCUAAUGCUGGAAUUUUGUAAGUUCUUAACUCAAAUGGGAGGCAAGAAAACAGAGACAGAGCAGAGUACUACAAAGUAGAACUAAAAAAACGACUAACAAGCACUAGCAAUAUUUUGCAACAACUCCCUCCGUUUCAAAUUGUUGGUUGUUUAAACUUUUCUAGAAUUAUAGAUAUUGUUAUGCAUCUAGAUAUACACUAUAUUUAUAUGCAUAAUAAAAACUAUGCACGUAGAAAAAUCAAAACGACUUACAAUUUGGGACAAAUACAAUUUGGGACGGAACGAGUAGCAAACAGCACACGUGCAGCUAUAUUUUUAGAAAAAAAAUGAUCAAUGGAGCUUGAGCUGUCUACAUAUAAUUUUGACUCGAGUUUGUUACGCCAUUGCCUGUACUUUGUACAGCUAUUGUCCAAGACUAGCACUCACAGUAGAUGCCAUGCAUAAGUAGCAAAUAUGAAUUUGAUUUAAUUUGAUUGCUUGCUAAGCACAGCAAGAUGGAGACCAGCUCCCUCGUGAACGAAGUUUUUUCUAAUCCAUUUGUCCGGAUAUAAUCAACAUUUAAUAUCACUUCUUCUGAUUGUAACGGUGCUUCAUUACCUUAAACAUGUACAAAUACUAGUGAGGCGUUCAGAACGAAUCACGUCAUGCCAAAAGAAAAAAAAAUACGGCCUCACUAGUUAAGUAGCAUUGCCAGAUUAAAGCAUUAUGUUACCUUGCUAUUAGUCAAGGUUCACAUGGGUGUGCUUAAACUAGGUUUCUAGGUUACGGUGAGCAUGAUGACAUAUACCAUAAGUUGCAUCGGAGCGCAGCAGCAUUUUCAUUUUCUUGAUUUAAAUACGAUAUCAUAUAUAUAUAUUAAGUUGGAACUAGGCUGAUUUAGAAAAGCCGUUACAAUGGCUAUUUUAGUGCUUGAAAACUAAAGAUUUAGAACUAGGCUGAUUUAGAAAAGAUUGUAUUGUUUACUUACAUUACUCAUAGGUUUAAGUGAACUAGCACAUACAAUGCUUAUGGCUCGAUGAUGGGAAAAAUCCAGUGCAAACUACUUCGGUGGAAACGUGAAAUUGUGAAACCUCCCCUAAAAGCCAUACCCUAAAGUUUCCAAAAAUUAAAAACAAUGUGCAUUCAGAAUAUAUUUAAAGAUUUACUUUGUUGCAAAAAUUAAGAUGCAAAUUUAAUGUAGAAAAAUCCAUACAAAAAUGACAGAAUUCGAAUGCAUGUGCACUAGGAGACAAAAUUUCUAGGCAUAUGUAUUCUAGUACACAAGCACUUGGAACUUUGUCAUUUUCAUAUGAACUUUUACAAAACGAGUUUGCAUCUCAACUUUGCAACAAAGUACAUCUAUGGAUGGAUAUAGAUGCGCAUCGUUUCAAAAAUUUUAAAAACUUCUAUAUAUUUUUUAAGAAGAAUUUUCAUGUUUCCACCGAAGAGGUGAUUUCCACUAAAUAUUUCCACAUAUCUACUCGCAACUUCAUCCAAGUAGAGGGCUGUUACAGAUACCCACCUAGCUCAUACCACCGGAGGAGCUGGCAAAAUUUGGAAGCCCACUACGCCCAUCGUUAAUACAUUUACCACGAAAACCAUAUGCUCCUGGUGAACAGAACAGAAGAUCCUGAGAGUAAUAAACAUAUCGGUUUGAACAGCCAAAUUAAAUUCCUUGGCCGUCAAGCUGGCGAUUCAUCGUCUUCGCGACAGCAAUAAGCAACCGCAGACGAUAAGAACUAUGAACAGGUUUGAAGAACCAAUUUUCCCACAUUAUUUGCUGACUUCAGCAUCGCGCUAAAUAAUACCAGAGUGCACAAUUAUUGAGCAAGCGAUUAUUAUGAAAAGUGCGCAAAUAUCAGAGUAUAUGUACAUCUGAUGAAUAACUUGGCGAAAGGUAAGGUGACCAGCCGAAAAUUCAGCUUCGAUGGCUCAAUCUAUUUGCACCAACUUAUGCUAUCAUUUGCAUUUCAUCAGAAGUCAAUGAAGCAGACAGUAACUAUCUACAGCUCAUCAUGGGUUUUUGCCUUAUCCAGGGUAGAAGCAGGCUGCUGGUGCUCGUGAAGAUAGCGAGCAGCCAUUGCUGCUUGUGCAGCCGCCCCGUAGGGGAGGGCAUCCUCGUUGAUGGUGAAGUAGGGUGAAUGAUGGGGCGCCUGUGGUCCGCGGGUCUCGUUGUACAUUCCCACAAAAUAGUAGUAGGUGGAGGGGAUCGCCUCGGCGUAGAAGGCGAAGUCUUCAGCACCCAUCAGCGGUUGCCUGUCCCUCACAUUCUUGGAGCCAACCAUCUCGCUGGCCACAUUCACGAAGAAAUCAUGGAGCUCAGGGCUGUUGAUGGUUGGGGGAAAGAAAGGGCGGUCCUUGGUGAGGAAGUCCACAGUAGCACUGCACCGCUGCACAGAUGCUUGAGAGACAAUUACCUGGGACAUGAAAGACAGAGAGAAGCUGAGGAUCUGCUGCAGGACAAUCCACAGUGAAAUUCAAGUAAAUUGUUGAAAAACUCUUGAGGGGAAUAGUGGGUAAUUCACACAGAUAAGAUGACUGUCAGAGUUAUGACCAUUGUGACCCGGACACUUCCAUCUGCUGACCUUCCAACACUUACUAGCUAUGAGAAAAUUUGUUUUGCAAGUGCAGUAAAACCAUUACUAAAGUGAAAGCUACAAGGCUGCAGCUGCAAUUUUCAUUAAAGUAGUGUAAAAGGAAAAAAAAAAUCUAUUAUGCAUGCUCAAACAACAAACUACACACGGUCCUGUAUCCAUGCAAUUAACCUUAUUCAUGAAAGAAUAAGAGUCAGGAACUGCUCUUGUGUUCAAGCUAAAAGCAGUACAAUCGAGUAAAGAUGGAGAAUAAGGGAAUGCCCCACAUUUUAGAUGCGCACCAGCUUAUUUGUUUAUCUGGUUGUAGUAUAUAUUUAAAUUGGAUAACAUCCCAGUGCCAGAGGAUGAGGUGACACUUACAAGUACCCAUUUUUCUACAGCUAUCAAUAAAAUGUGCAAAUUCAUCUAUUCAAUAAUUACUACUGUAGUUAGUCAUAGUGAUCUUAACAAGAAGUUCAAGCAGUCAUUUAUUUAACGCAAUUUUGAGUCCUUUUUCUUCCAAGAGAACCUGAUCCGCACAAAAUAAUUAAGAAACUGACUAUUCAGUUACAAUAAGUUCCCAAGUAACUAAUGCUGUUACCUCUUCAAUUCGCUGCUUCAAUUGAUUAAAACUCUCUUUCAAAAAGGCCCGGAAGGUGCCACCUAUUGUUACUGAAUCAGGGAUAACAUUGAAGGCCCCACCUCCUUGAAAUUUUCCAAUUGUUACAACCUGCAGAACAAAGCAUGGACCAAAGGAAACAAUUUAUAUACUGGUUUGUAAAUUUGCCAAAGGUUCAACAUAGAGAAAGUGCUAGUCAGUGCACUGAACAAACUGAUGGGGUCCUGGCCUUCUGGGAGUAACAUAUUGAAUAAACAGCCAAAAUUCAGCUUCAAUGGUCCAAUCUAAUUUUACCUAUUUCUGCUAUCAUUUAAUUUGUAUAUGGAACUAAAAAUUCCUCUAUCAAACAACUUAAGAGUGUAAAACUUAAGUUUUGAAUGUUAUAUAGUAAUGGAUGUGGAACAAUUUGUGCUGCCUAGUUCUAAUAAGUACAGGCAAACUUGGGCUGGCCUCCUGGGUUGUUUCCAUACUAAGAGCAGGAUAAAAAGUUCAACACGAUCUUGACCAAUUUAAAAUAAAUCAUCUACACACAUAGCAAAAUCAUUUUAUAAAAAAUUUUCUAUGCUUGUUCUGCAAUUUAGACCAACAGAACAGUACAUCAUGCAACUUCUGCGGAAGGGAGUUAUGUCAAUCAUACAAAUAGAUAUAGAGAAAGGUUGUCAAGAUCAUGAUUCAUUGCUUGGGAAUUUAUGGCAGGCAACAACAAAUUAAGUCGGUGAAGGGUAAGAUGGUACCUGUGAGUCCAAGGGAUCAGCUUCCCGGGAAACAAGUUGCUGAAGGCUCACAAUAACAUUUGAGGCAGCCAAUAUCGGAUCUAUAGUGUGAUGAGGAAGUGCAGCAUGCCCUCCCUUUCCACUUAUUACAGCCUCAAAGAAUCCACUCCCAGCCAUAAUAGGCCCUGGCCUGGAUGCCAGCACACCAAUAGGAAUAGAGUCAGCUAUGUGAAUCCCAAAAAUGGCAUCAAUAUUUUCCACUGCUCCAGCUUCUAUCAUUUUCUGAGCCCCACCACCACCUUCCUCGGCUGGUUGGAAAACAAGGACUACAGUGCCCUACAGUAAUCAACAUGAUAUUCAUAACCAUUGAAAUUUGUUCUAGGUGAUAAAAAUUCAAUGAUUACAAGUCAAUUCAUAUACUGAUAUGGAGGCAACUGAACUAAGUGAUUCGAUAAGGAGAAUUGCCGAUGGACUAUCAGGAUUAGUUGUGUGCUGUCUAAACAUAAUUACUCGCUUUCCCUAAAAACAGUAAUAUAAGCAAUUGACAAAAAUGCUAAAUCUAUUGCAAAAGGUUGACUAAAGAAAUGAAGUAUAGACGAAUAAAAAAAGGCAGAAAGAAA